Molecule: ribosomal RNA, 24 nt
Filed under: Strophostyles umbellata
Lineage: Eukaryota; Viridiplantae; Streptophyta; Magnoliopsida; Fabales; Fabaceae
Description: partial large subunit ribosomal RNA
Source: RNAcentral
GGGACUCAGGUCAGGCGGGGCUAC